Molecule: ribosomal RNA, 216 nt
Filed under: Glomeromycotina sp.
Lineage: Eukaryota; Fungi; Glomeromycota
Description: partial small subunit ribosomal RNA
Rfam family: Eukaryotic small subunit ribosomal RNA (bases 40-216)
Source: RNAcentral
GGGUCAGUAGGUUGGUCGUGCCACCGGGACGUACUGGUCUCACUGAUUCCUCCUUCCUGAAGAACCGUAAUGCCAUUAAUUUGGUGUUGCGGGGAAACAGGACUGUUACUUUGAAAAAAUUAGAGGGUUUAAGGCAAGCUAACGCUUGAAUACAUUAGCAUGGAAUAAUGAAAUAGGACGAUCGAUCCUAUUUUGUUGGUUUCUAGGAUUGACGUA